This 433-nucleotide ribosomal RNA is filed under the name uncultured bacterium. Its description in RNAcentral is "partial 16S ribosomal RNA". It matches the Rfam family "Bacterial small subunit ribosomal RNA", at positions 29 to 507 of the family's 1533-position model. The record is from RNAcentral.
AACGAACGCUGGCGGCAUGCCUAACACAUGCAAGUCGAACGAGACCUUCGGGUCUAGUGGCGCACGGGUGCGUAACGCGUGGGAACCUGCCCUUAGGUUCGGAAUAACUCCCCGAAAGGGGUGCUAAUACCGGAUAAUGUCUUCGGACCAAAGAUUUAUCGCCUUUGGAUGGGCCCGCGUUGGAUUAGCUAGUUGGUAGGGUAAAAGCCUACCAAGGCGACGAUCCAUAGCUGGUCUGAGAGGAUGAUCAGCCACACUGGGACUGAGACACGGCCCAGACUCCUACGGGAGGCAGCAGUGGGGAAUAUUGGACAAUGGGCGGAAGCCUGAUCCCGCAAUGCCGCGUGAGUGAUGAAGGCCUUAGGGUUGUAAAGCUCUUUUACCCGGGAUGAUAAUGACAGUACCGGGAGAAUAAGCUCCGGCUAACUCCGUG